GACGGGUGAGUAACAUGUGAGAAUUUGCCUUUAGGAGGGGGAGAACUAGUUAGAAAUGAUUGCUAAUGCCCCAUAUGCUUUUUUUAGUGAAAUGGAGUUUAUCCGCCUGAAGAGAAGCUCGCGUCUGAUUAGCUAGUUGGUAAGGUAAUAGCUUACCAAGGUGACGAUCAGUAGUUGGUUUGAGAGAAUGAUCAGCCACACUGGAACUGAGAUACGGUCCAGACUCC
Molecule: ribosomal RNA, 227 nt
Filed under: uncultured bacterium
Lineage: Bacteria
Description: partial 16S ribosomal RNA
Rfam family: Bacterial small subunit ribosomal RNA
Source: RNAcentral